This 211-nucleotide ribosomal RNA is filed under the name uncultured archaeon. RNAcentral's name for it is "partial 16S ribosomal RNA". It matches the Rfam family "Archaeal small subunit ribosomal RNA", at positions 462 to 673 of the family's 1478-position model. The record is from RNAcentral.
UCGCCACGGUAAUACCCGCUCCCCGAGUGGUGGGACGUUUUACUUGAGCUUAAAGCGCCCGUAGCCGGUCAUGCUUGUCUCCAGUUAAAUCCAGCAGCCUAACUGCUGGGCCGCUGGAGAUACUGCAUGACUUGGAGGCGGGAGAGGCCACUGGUAGUCCCGGGUAGGAGUGAAAUCCACUGAUCCCGGGAGGACCUGCAGUGGCGAAGGC